UGGUUCUGGCAUCGAUGAAGAACGCAGCGAAAUGCGAUAAGUAAUGUGAAUUGCAGAAUUCAGUGAAUCAUCGAAUCUUCGAACGCACAUUGCGCCCAUUAGUAUUCUAGUGGGCAUGCCUGUUCGAGCGUCAUUUCAACCCUUAAGCCUCUGUUGCUUAGUGUUGGGAGCCUACAGUACUGUAGCUCCUCAAAGUUAGUGGCGGAGUCGGCUCACAGCUCUAGACGUAGUAAUUUUUUCCCUCGCCUGUGUGUUGUGCCGGUCCCCUGCCGUAAAACCCCCUAAUUUUUCAAGGUUGACCUCGGAUCAGGUAGGAAUACCCGCUGA
This 327-nucleotide unclassified non-coding RNA is filed under the name uncultured fungus. RNAcentral's name for it is "partial contains 5.8S ribosomal RNA and internal transcribed spacer 2". The stretch from base 1 to 133 matches the Rfam family "5.8S ribosomal RNA", at positions 22 to 154 of the family's 154-position model. The record is from RNAcentral. Lineage: Eukaryota; Fungi.